GGACCAAUAUGUCGGUCGUGCCUCGGUACGUACUGGCAUCGUUGGUUUCUUCCUUCUGACGAACCAUGAUGUCAUUCAUUUGGUGUCGUGGGGAAUCAGGACUGUUACUUUGAAAAAAUUAGAGUGUUUAAAGCAGGCUCACGCUUGAAUACAUUAGCAUGGAAUAAUGAAAUAGGACGUUUGAUUCUAUUUUGUUGGUUUCUAGGAUCGACGUAAU
This 217-nucleotide ribosomal RNA is filed under the name Dominikia sp. RNAcentral describes it as "partial small subunit ribosomal RNA". The stretch from base 46 to 217 matches the Rfam family "Eukaryotic small subunit ribosomal RNA", at positions 693 to 866 of the family's 1831-position model. Lineage: Eukaryota; Fungi; Glomeromycota; Glomeromycetes; Glomerales; Glomeraceae. The record is from RNAcentral.